GCCGAAAUAGCUCAGUUGGAAGAGCGUUAGAUUGAAGAUCUUGAAGGUCCCCGGUUCAAUUCCGGGUUUCGGCU
This is a non-coding RNA of Sarcophilus harrisii (Tasmanian devil), 74 nucleotides long. The record is from Rfam. Lineage: Eukaryota; Metazoa; Chordata; Mammalia; Dasyuromorphia; Dasyuridae.